Molecule: ribosomal RNA, 465 nt
Filed under: uncultured bacterium
Lineage: Bacteria
Description: partial 16S ribosomal RNA
Rfam family: Bacterial small subunit ribosomal RNA
Source: RNAcentral
GACGAACGCUGGCGGCGUGCUUAACACAUGCAAGUCGUACGGUAAGGCCCUUUCGGGGGUACACGAGUGGCGAACGGGUGAGUAACACGUGAGUAACCUGCCCACAACUUUGGGAUAACGCUAGGAAACUGGUGCUAAUACUGGAUAUGUGCUCCUGCUGCAUGGUGGGGGUUGGAAAGCUCCGGCGGUUGUGGAUGGACUCGCGGCCUAUCAGCUUGUUGGUGGGGUAGUGGCCUACCAAGGCGGCGACGGGUAGCCGGCCUGAGAGGGUGACCGGCCACAUUGGGACUGAGAUACGGCCCAGACGCCUACGGGAGGCAGCAGGGGGGAAUAUUGCACAAUGGGCGCAAGCCGGAUGCAGCAACGCCGCGUGCGGGAGAACGGCCUUCGGGUUGGAAACCGCUUUCAGCAGGGACGAAGCUUUUUGUGACGGUACCUGCAGAAGAAGCACCGGCUAACUACGUG